RNAcentral lists this small nucleolar RNA (138 nucleotides) under Ornithorhynchus anatinus (platypus). Lineage: Eukaryota; Metazoa; Chordata; Mammalia; Monotremata; Ornithorhynchidae. The record is from RNAcentral.
CCCCUCUGAGGAUCACAGCUGGAGAGUUUCCAGUACUCUACCAGUCUCGGCUACAGGAGGGAGAGUCAAGCAGAGGCCUACCCAUUCCAUUCCUAGCUUGGGCAGUGGCUAGCAAGUUGGAGGCAGUCUGCUUCAUCA